Sinocyclocheilus anshuiensis is the source of this 477-nucleotide long non-coding RNA. RefSeq lists it as uncharacterized. Lineage: Eukaryota; Metazoa; Chordata; Actinopteri; Cypriniformes; Cyprinidae. The transcript is spliced from 3 exons. The record is from RefSeq and is a predicted model, not a curated record.
GUGAGCGCCCGCCUCUGGAGGACAUGCGCCGGGGACUCGACACGUGAUCCGCUCGCCACAAUCCAGUAUGGCGGAAUCCGUCGGUGAGUGGAUCCGUGGUUGGCGCGCUCUCCAACGGGAAUAAAGUCCGGAGCGUUGCAUCCGAUCGCGGCGGAGCUGCGGAGAGGGUACAUGAUUAACAGUGCCGGAUGAUUCAUGGAGAUUGGCAGUUUGCACCGUUUGCCGCAUCUGUGGCUGAAGAGGAAAGAGAGGGAGAAUCUGGCUCCAGCCGCUCUUACAUGAUGCUUAGCGAGGAAAAGCGCUAACAGGAGACGGGGCGUAACUGUAGGAGGGAUUCACCGAAAUGAAAAUUCUUGGCCGAAGCCGAACAAAAUGAAACCCUGGGCUGAAGACCGAAUACCGAACACAGAUUUUAGCAUUUAGAUCUAUUUUGCCAUUUUUUUUUUCACCAUUGCAUAAAUUAAAUAACUAAAAUGU